UCCCUGUUGGCUCAGUGGUAAAGAGUCUGCCUGCAAUGCAGGAGACCUGGGUUCGAUCCCUGUGUUGGGAA
This 71-nucleotide transfer RNA is filed under the name Capra hircus (goat). It matches the Rfam family "tRNA". From Rfam's summary of the family: Transfer RNA (tRNA) molecules are approximately 80 nucleotides in length. Their secondary structure includes four short double-helical elements and three loops (D, anti-codon, and T loops). Further hydrogen bonds mediate the characteristic L-shaped molecular structure. tRNAs have two regions of fundamental functional importance: the anti-codon, which is responsible for specific mRNA codon recognition, and the 3' end, to which the tRNAs corresponding amino acid is attached (by aminoacyl-tRNA synthetases). tRNAs cope with the degeneracy of the genetic code in two manners: having more than one tRNA (with a specific anti-codon) for a particular amino acid; and 'wobble' base-pairing, i.e. permitting non-standard base-pairing at the 3rd anti-codon position. Lineage: Eukaryota; Metazoa; Chordata; Mammalia; Artiodactyla; Bovidae. RNAcentral also lists the same sequence under 1 other name. The record is from Rfam by way of RNAcentral.